Molecule: long non-coding RNA, 1048 nt
Organism: Pangasianodon hypophthalmus (striped catfish)
Lineage: Eukaryota; Metazoa; Chordata; Actinopteri; Siluriformes; Pangasiidae
Exons: 3
Source: RefSeq, a predicted model, not a curated record
GUGCGCCUCACUCAGAGCAGGAGUGUUACACAACUCUGUUAUUUUACAUUUAUCAUUUUCUCUCAAAAUAAUCAGUGAUGAUAAAAGUCUCACUCGGAGUGGAAGCUCUUUACCUGCUUUACUGUCUGUGUUGUUUUUCAAAAUCACCUCCUGGAAUUCAGAGCACUCACACUGCCAGCAGUGCAAAGCAACAACAAAAACAACAACAGCAACAACAGCAAUAAUAACAACAGCAGCAACAGGAGCAACAACAAUAACAACAAUAACAACAGGAGCAACAACAAUAACAACAAUAACAACAGGAGCAACAACAAUAACAACAGGAGCAACAACAAUAACAAUAAUAACAACAGGAGCAACAACAAUAACAACAGAACAACAAUAACAACAAUAACAAAAACAUCUGCAAUAACAACAAUAAUAAUAGAAAUGUCUGGAGAUUAGUGCCUUCAAGUUCUGUACUUUUUCACGUGUUCUUGCACAAGAUCCCUGAAGGAAGAAGAACAAGAAGCAGGAAACGAAACAGAAUAAGGGAAUCACUAAACAUUUUAAUUCAAAACAUAUUUUUAAACUACAAAAAAAAGCUAAUAGGAAACGUUAAGCUAACUUUUCAUCUCAUCAUACACUCGAGUGUCCCAUCGUCCUGCUCUGGUUCUUCUCUGUAACCUUCAUGCUGAAGGCUUGAGGGCUGUGAGUGACGUUUUCAGGUGAAAAAUAUUACGCAGAUCAAACUGAAGCUCUGUAUUAGAUCCAGUAUUAUAACCAGAUCAAAUCCCAGGAUGAAUAAAUGUUCAGCCAGUUUUAAAGAAAUGAUCAAGACGUCGAUUUUCUUCCUUCCUCUUGUACAGUUUGUUGAAUUCCACUUUACAUCCCUCUAGUUCUGAGCUCUUUAUUAGUAGAUCUGUGUUAAAUCCUGCGCCGUUACUGUGUUCAUUAAAUUUAAAGCCGUGUGUAAAAGCCACUGUGUGUGUGUGGAAAUGCUGAAGACUGAUCCGUCUGGCACAGAUGAGUAAAAUUUCAAGGAUGCAUCAUCAGAUUUCAGAGUGAA